CCGUAGCCUGGUAGCGGGGAUAACUAUUGGAAACGAUAGCUAAUACCGCAUAACAGUAGAUAUCGCAUGAUAGCUGCUUGAAAGGUGCAAUUGCACCACUACCAGAUGGACCUGCGUUGUAUUAGCUAGUUGGUGAGGUAACGGCUCACCAAGGCAACGAUACAUAGCCGACCUGAGAGGGUGAUCGGCCACACUGGGACUGAGACACGGCCCAG
This 215-nucleotide ribosomal RNA is filed under the name uncultured bacterium. Its description in RNAcentral is "partial 16S ribosomal RNA". It matches the Rfam family "Bacterial small subunit ribosomal RNA", at positions 125 to 334 of the family's 1533-position model. The record is from RNAcentral.